UACUUUCAGUGCCCGAGUUGUAAUUUGUAGAAUUUGUCUUUGAUUAGGUCCUUGUCUAUGUUCCUUGGAACAGGACGUCAUAGAGGGUGAGAAUCCCGUUUGGCGAGGAUACCUUUUCUCUGUAAGACUUUUUCGAAGAGUCGAGUUGUUUGGGAAUGCAGCUCAAAGUGGGUGGUAAAUUCCAUCUAAAGCUAAAUAUUGGCGAGAGACCGAUAGCGAACAAGUACAGUGAUGGAAAGAUGAAAAGAACUUUGAAAAGAGAGUGAAAAAGUACGUGAAAUUGUUGAAAGGGAAGGGCAUUUGAUCAGACAUGGUGUUUUUUGCAUGCACUCGCCUCUCGUGGGCUUGGGCCUCUCAAAAAUUUCACUGGGCCAACAUCAAUUCUGGCAGUAGGAUAAAUCAUUAAGAAUGUAGCUACCUCGGUAGUGUUAUAGCUUAUUGGAAUACUGCUAGCUGGGAUUGAGGACUGCGCUUCGGCAAGGAUGUUG
This 488-nucleotide ribosomal RNA is filed under the name Hanseniaspora opuntiae. Its description in RNAcentral is "LSU rRNA". It matches the Rfam family "Eukaryotic large subunit ribosomal RNA", at positions 126 to 628 of the family's 3401-position model. The record is from RNAcentral. Lineage: Eukaryota; Fungi; Ascomycota; Saccharomycetes; Saccharomycodales; Saccharomycodaceae.